GCAGCGGCGUCUCUGCUGCGCACUACGGCGUCGUGAUCCUGACCGCGGUGGCCGCCGGCAGCGCCUCGCUGCGGCAGAUCGCGUUGCACGUCGUGCCGGGCACCGGAAGCUAUGGCUCGGCGCUGUUCGGCAUGCACUUCUACACGUGGGCCUUUGUCGGUUACGGUGCGCUGAUCGUGUACGUCGGCGUGAUGCUGCUGGCCAGUGCGACCGGCCGAUCGGCACUCCCCGCGCGCCUAAGCGGACUCGAACGCGGCGCAUUCGCGCUGUUCGUCGCGCUGGCGGCGGCAAACGCCGUCUCGUUCCUGCUCGAAUGCGGCCUCGGUCCGUGCCCGGACGAUCCGGCCGGCUACCUGCUCCUCCCCGGUGCGCGAUAGCAGCGGCUUCGCAGCUGGCCGCUCGCGCGGCGCUCAGGCGCGGCGCGCGAGCUCGGCGGCCUUGCCGAUGUAGGUUGCCGGCGUCAGUGCCAGCAGUUCGUCGCGUGCCGCCGCCGGGAUGUCGAGGGCGCGCACGAACUCCUGCAGUGCCUCGCGCGUGAUGCCCUUGCCGCGCGUCAGCGCCUUCAGCUGCUCGUAGGGAUUCGGAACGCCGUAGCGGCGCAUUACGGUCUGCACCGGCUCGGCCAGCACCUCCCACGCGUCGUCAAGGUCCGCGCGCAGCCGUUCCUCGUUGACUUCGAGCUUGCGCAGGCCGCGCAGGCAGGACUCGAUGCCGACCAGCGUGUAACCGAAAGCCACACCGACAUUGCGCAGCACGGUGGAGUCCGUCAAAUCGCGUUGCCAGCGCGAUACCGGCAGUUUUUCCGCGAGGUGGCGCAGCACGGCAUUAGCCAGCC
RNAcentral lists this unclassified non-coding RNA (835 nucleotides) under uncultured fungus. RNAcentral describes it as "sequence contains 18S rRNA gene, ITS1, 5.8S rRNA gene, ITS2, 28S rRNA gene". The record is from RNAcentral. Lineage: Eukaryota; Fungi.